ACUCCUACGGGAGGCAGCAGUGGGGAAUAUUGCACAAUGGGCGCAAGCCUGAUGCAGCCAUGCCACGUGUAUGAAGAAGGCCAUUCGGGCUUGGUUAAAGAUACUUUCAGCAGUGAGGAAGGUGGGUAUGUUAAUAGCAUAUUCAUUUGACGUUAGCUGCAGAAGAAGCACCGGCUAACUCCGUGCCAGCAGCCGCGGUAAUACGGAGGGUGCGAGCGUUAAUCGGAAUUACUGGGCGUAAAGCGCAUGCAGGUGGUUUGUUAAGUCAGAUGUGAAAGCCCGGGGCUCAACCUCGGAAUUGCAUUUGAAACUGGCAAACUAGAGUACUGUAGAGGGGGGUAGAAUUUCAGGUGUAGCGGUGAAAUGCGUAGAGAUCUGAAGGAAUACCGGUGGCGAAGGCGGCCCCCUGGACAGAUACUGACACUCAGAUGCGAAAGCGUGGGGAGCAAACAGGAUUAGAUACCCUGGUAGCUACGAGU
This 479-nucleotide ribosomal RNA is filed under the name uncultured bacterium. RNAcentral describes it as "bacterial SSU rRNA". It matches the Rfam family "Bacterial small subunit ribosomal RNA", at positions 335 to 802 of the family's 1533-position model. The record is from RNAcentral.